Molecule: long non-coding RNA, 588 nt
Filed under: Carica papaya (papaya)
Lineage: Eukaryota; Viridiplantae; Streptophyta; Magnoliopsida; Brassicales; Caricaceae
Description: long non-coding RNA (CPAP_LNC008391)
Source: RNAcentral
UGUUUGCUAGGUGACCUACCCUCACAAUUACCUAUCCACGUUAUCCACGUGCAGGUUCACCAUAUCUGCCGAACUUUAACUACACAAGCACCCUCCCUCCUCGAUUCAAACUAAAUGAUUAGGUAUCCAGAGUCCUUACACUUCACACUCUUUCCAAAUCUCUCUCAUGUUCAAUUCAAUUAUUUCAUACUUAACAUAUUAAUUUCUAUACAUAAUAAAACAUAAACACAUACACAAAAAAAUAUAUGAUAUCAUCACACACAUAAGAGGCAUAUAUUUCAAAAUACUUUUUGAAUCAUCUUGUACUAGAUCACACAGUAAGCACAUGAUACUCAGAUUCUUUACAUAACUGUACCAGAUCACACAGCAAGUACAGUGCAUCGUAAAUCUGCACUAGAACAUACAACAAGUACAGUGUACCCAAAUUUUAUACGUACAUACACUGGUUAUACAUUUCAUAUGCAUAACAUAUGUACACACAUAUUAAUACACACACAUAUAUAUUACAAUACAUAUAUGUAUCCUCACUACAUGUCUCACAUAGAAUAUAUAUUUAUAUUUACACACACAAUCUCUACCAAUACAUGU